Long non-coding RNA from Gigantopelta aegis, 565 nucleotides. RefSeq lists it as uncharacterized. NCBI's taxonomy places the organism in Eukaryota, Metazoa, Mollusca, Gastropoda, Neomphalida, Peltospiridae. The record is from RefSeq and is a predicted model, not a curated record. The transcript has 4 exons.
GGGGAUUCCCACUUUGAGCGCUUACCGGUUGGCAUGGAAGUGUCGUACUGCCUUUCUUAAGCUUAGAUGUGAUGUACUGAAUAUUAAUACUGAGAAAGGAACUUUGUCGGUCGAUUGUUACAGAGGAGUGUUGAUAGCCUACACGGCUAUAGAAUGAUUAAGGUACGUUUGCUAAACUAGCCUCGACCUCGGAGAGUAUAAUCUGCGAAGGAUGCCCCGAUGGUUACUAUCAGCCCGUCCCGAGAUACUCGUAUGAAUUCACGAAACAGAGAUGUCUUCGCCGGCACGUAACCUGCAACGAGGUCGGAAAGGUGCUGUGUAAACAGGGAACUGUGAAGAGCGACUAUCGCUGCACGUGUGACUACGCGCUGCAGUAUGCACCGUCAUCGGAAAACUGUGAUUGCUUCUCUUACGACGAUCCUUGCUACUGUAAAAGGAAAUCGUGUGGUCACGGGAAGCAACUCAAUUCAACUUUUCAUUGUGUUGCAAUACCAACAACGACAACUACACCAAUGACAACUACACCAACGACAACUAUGCCAGCUACAACGACAACAACAAUAAA